Molecule: ribosomal RNA, 1498 nt
Filed under: metagenome
Description: bacterial SSU rRNA
Rfam family: Bacterial small subunit ribosomal RNA
Source: RNAcentral
GAGGUUGAUCAUGGCUCAGAUUGAACGCUGGCGGCAGGCCUAACACAUGCAAGUCGAACGGUAACAGGAAGAAGCUUGCUUCUUUGCUGACGAGUGGCGGACGGGUGAGUAAUGUCUGGGAAACUGCCUGAUGGAGGGGGAUAACUACUGGAAACGGUAGCUAAUACCGCAUAACGUCGCAAGACCAAAGAGGGGGACCUUCGGGCCUCUUGCCAUCGGAUGUGCCCAGAUGGGAUUAGCUAGUAGGUGGGGUAACGGCUCACCUAGGCGACGAUCCCUAGCUGGUCUGAGAGGAUGACCAGCCACACUGGAACUGAGACACGGUCCAGACUCCUACGGGAGGCAGCAGUGGGGAAUAUUGCACAAUGGGCGCAAGCCUGAUGCAGCCAUGCCGCGUGUAUGAAGAAGGCCUUCGGGUUGUAAAGUACUUCAGCGGGGAGGAAGGGAGUAAAGUUAAUACCUUUGCUCAUUGACGUUACCCGCAGAAGAAGCACCGGCUAACUCCGUGCCAGCAGCCGCGGUAAUACGGAGGGUGCAAGCUUUAAUCGGAAUUACUGGGCGUAAAGCGCACGCAGGCGGUUUGUUAAGUCAGAUGUGAAAUCCCCGGGCUCAACCUGGGAACUGCAUCUGAUACUGGCAAGCUUGAGUCUCGUAGAGGGGGGUAGAAUUCCAGGUGUAGCGGUGAAAUGCGUAGAGAUCUGGAGGAAUACCGGUGGCGAAGGCGGCCCCCUGGACGAAGACUGACGCUCAGGUGCGAAAGCGUGGGGAGCAAACAGGAUUAGAUACCCUGGUAGUCCACGCCGUAAACGAUGUCGACUUGGAGGUUGUGCCCUUGAGGCGUGGCUUCCGGAGCUAACGCGUUAAGUCGACCGCCUGGGGAGUACGGCCGCAAGGUUAAAACUCAAAUGAAUUGACGGGGGCCCGCACAAGCGGUGGAGCAUGUGGUUUAAUUCGAUGCAACGCGAAGAACCUUACCUGGUCUUGACAUCCACGGAAGUUUUCAGAGAUGAGAAUGUGCCUUCGGGAACCGUGAGACAGGUGCUGCAUGGCUGUCGUCAGCUCGUGUUGUGAAAUGUUGGGUUAAGUCCCGCAACGAGCGCAACCCUUAUCCUUUGUUGCCAGCGGUCCGGCCGGGAACUCAAAGGAGACUGCCAGUGAUAAACUGGAGGAAGGUGGGGAUGACGUCAAGUCAUCAUGGCCCUUACGACCAGGGCUACACACGUGCUACAAUGGCGCAUACAAAGAGAAGCGACCUCGCGAGAGCAAGCGGACCUCAUAAAGUGCGUCGUAGUCCGGAUUGGAGUCUGCAACUCGACUCCAUGAAGUCGGAAUCGCUAGUAAUCGUGGAUCAGAAUGCCACGGUGAAUACGUUCCCGGGCCUUGUACACACCGCCCGUCACACCAUGGGAGUGGGUUGCAAAAGAAGUAGGUAGCUUAACCUUCGGGAGGGCGCUUACCACUUUGUGAUUCAUGACUGGGGUGAAGUCGUAACAAGGUA